Molecule: non-coding RNA, 521 nt
Organism: Physcomitrium patens
Lineage: Eukaryota; Viridiplantae; Streptophyta; Bryopsida; Funariales; Funariaceae
Source: RefSeq, a predicted model, not a curated record
UCGAAGGUAAUCGAUCAACGUUGACGAGGCAUUUCAAAUCAAGGCGCUGUCAGGGAUUGGACGGUUGGGGUACCGAGUAGGGCGCCCUCAAUUGGAAAUACCUCGAUACUUGUGUCAUAGAAACCAGCAUACGUGUCACCGCUUUGUGACGCCACCUUAAGAGAUGCAUUGCCAAACACUACACCAUCGCAUUCUCGACACGCACUGCAGCGGCCGAAAAAAUCUAUCCAGGUGGCCUUGACCACCUUGUUGGCAGCUUCCCUUGCUCCAUGUUGGCAACGCUGGUUGCACAGCCUACCGAGUAUUGUCUAAUAUAACUAUGCAUCCACUACAUUUUUGCCCACAUUCAAACCUUCGGAUGCUUUAUCACAAGUUGAACCUGACGAUAGAUUAUUGAUAGUUAACUUUAAGGGGAUCAUCAGAACAGGUUUCUCAUCGACAAGCUUGCUUUAAAGACGGUGAUUGAUUGAUUGUUUGAUUGAUUGAUCGAUCGAUUGAUAGAACCACUACCACAACCCAGC